UGCCCGGUGAACCAGUCGUUGAAAAAGGACUGCUCGAUGUUGCAAGUGGCUGCCAGCUGUGAAGGCAAGAAAGCAGCAGUGAAUAUUAGUGAAGCCUCGCCCUGAAAUCAGCACAAAGCUCCUCUUCUCUGUGCCAGGUCCUGAAAUUUGGAAUUGUCCUCAAACCUGUAUUGGAGGAGAGAUAGAGAGCAAAAGGUGGAAGAUACACUCUGGAAAAUACCACGUGAUACUUACAUCUGACCUCUCAGUUUGGUGGUCUAUUGUCCAGCUCGCGUAACUACGCCCUGGAGAGGGGGAGACUGGGGACACUUGGAUUACGAAGCGUCGAAAGACAGCACAGGCAAGAAACAAAGACAAGCAGCAAGGCUUAAGCAGAGCCGAGCAGUUUUUACCACCCCACUCUUCCAGAUGUUAUUGCCCAUGGCUGCAGGGAGCUGGCUGCCCAGGCGUCGCAUGGAUGCGCGCCCAGCGCUUUGCUCCUCGGUGCUAGAGCAGAGCUGAGCUGCAGGUGGUAGAGAGCUGGGGGAGAGGGAGGCUGUGCAAAAAAUAACAAUAAUAAUCUCGUUCUCAGUAACCCUGAGGAUGGCAGCGACCUGUCAGAGGCUGCUGGCGAAGCCUGGGGGCAGCCCCGCGUGUGUCCGUGCGCUCCUUACCGUGGCAUCUUCCCCGGCGCAGUGGCUGAUGACUCGGUGGCCCCCCGGGUGCCUGUGAGCCCACUGGGUGACAUUGUACACCUUGCGCUCUAUCACCAGCCACUUGUCCGUCCUCAGGUUGUGCUUCUGGAUCUCCUCCCAGGUGUAGAGGGGGAUCUGCG
Anas platyrhynchos (mallard) is the source of this 814-nucleotide non-coding RNA. The record is from RefSeq and is a predicted model, not a curated record. NCBI's taxonomy places the organism in Eukaryota, Metazoa, Chordata, Aves, Anseriformes, Anatidae.